CCCUGCUGCCUGCGCUCCGGCGCCGGUCUGCGCUCCACCAGCCUCGCGGGGACCCGCGGCGGGAUUCGGGGAGCGGCGGAGCGGGCGCACGGCUUAGUCCAUCCUGUGCGCUAGGAUGAACUCGGGGACUCACCACCCGGGACCAGGAUGCAGCAGCGGCGAAAAGCAUGCCGAGGACCAGACUCAAGGUCUAUGGAGCUUGUGCUGUUUGACUCACAUUAAUGAGACGGGGUGAACAGAUAAACACCCUGGAAUUGGCUCCCUAAUGCAGCCCCAGAGAUUCCUUCAUCGCAGAUCUUGUGUACUACAGACAUUUGGAGGGAGGAUUAUUGGUGAAUCAGAGGAAGAUGACAAUGAAAACUCAUAGCAGUGAACUGUAACAAAUGGAAACCUGGAUUUCAAUUGCCUUGCAUUCUUGGGACGCAUGGUAGUGAUAACUCUCCAUCAAGUGUGAUUAUUUACAAGGAGCAUCACUGUCAAAUCAGAACAGUUGGAUGGUAAUGCUUCUCACAAGAACACUGGUGUUUUCCCACUGCUGGAGAUGACGCUUCACCUGGUUGAACGAUCCCUUUGGAGAUGUUAGUUUGAAGAUGUGCUUGGAUAAAAGUAUCCUUGUUCCUCUCAGAGAGGUAAGAAUGUCGAUUUGUGCUUAUCUGGCCAUUGUCCCUAGUUACGUCUUCACUCAUCGGGUAGCGGCCCUGUCGUGUGUCAGGGACUGGGGUGAGAUACUUUGUAAAUGCUAUUUCAACCUUUUAAAAAUGCUGCAAAAAUUUGCAUUGACUUUUCAGUGGGGUCAACUUAAUGUUCCUUAAUGUCAAAGUAUUUUGAGUUUUCCUACAUUACAGCGUCACUAUUUUCCCCUAAGUUUACCAUAGAAUUGUAUAGUUAAUCAGUUUGCUGGUGCAUUUCCACCAAGUAAAGGAACUUCUUUCUUUUUAAAUGAAUGUGACCAUGAGUGCUCAGAGUGAAGGCUGCAGAGCGUUCUCGAACCUCCUCACUCUGGAAGCAGAAGGGGAGGGAGCGCAGGUAUGUGAUGUGCAAGACUGCAGUGCCAGUCAUAGUUCAGUAUGAGAGUCGGAAAUAACCACCGCAGGCUUGUGAGGACCAGGGAGCUUGAAAGAGGAUGCGGGGAAUUUCACAAGGAAAGACCGUGACUGUCAACAGGAAGGAUGUGAUAAGAUGAAAGUGGCUGAAAUACAGGUAACUCACCCACGGGUUUGGACACCUGAGAUGGCCAGGUAGAUCUGUGUUUGUCUGUAGUGUGUGGGGGAUAUGUAGGAACUUUAAAGGGGUGGGAGUGAAUCUGCAGAUUGCUUUAGUAACAGCCAUUUUAAUGAAGAUUUUUUUUCUAAUUAACGAGCAUAAAAUACCUGUCCAUCUCUUUGUGUCUGCUAUUUCUUUCAACAGUGCCAUACAGUUUUCUUUUGCUUCAUUGAUUAAAUUUAUCCCAGGACAUUUAAUUCUUGAUGGUGAUUGUGAAUGAGACUGUUUUCCUGUAUCUAUUAAGCAAAAUUUAGUGUCUGCAGAUUAGAAAGAGAAGGUACAAGUUAUAUAUUCUUUUUGUACUAUCAAGGACUUAGAACACAAUUUCAGACCAAAUGCAGGUAAUUUUUAACAUUCCCAUUAGGCAUCACAAAGGGGUUUGUUAGAAGUCAAACAAAGAAAGUAAUUUAAUGCAGUUUUCAGAAGGUUUACUACAGUCUAUCAGAGCGAAAUAGAAACGGCUGGAGUUUUUAGUUCCUAACCAUGAAGUCUAUUUCCCAUACUCUCCUCCUGCUUUUGUCUUUCAUGUGAACACGGUAGUUUAUGAAAAUGCGGCCAUAUUGACUAUACUGGGAUGUGAUCUAAUCCUCGGCCUUUGGCAGUGGUUCCAUGCUGCUUUUGAGAGAAAGUUCAUGAAUCCCUGUAGCCCAGCACCUCUGUACAGGUCUGACACACUGACACACUGGAAAGUUUGGAGUGUCUGCAAAAUACCUCCUCAGAACUUGAGGAGACACAUGGCUAAAGACUACUAUCCUUGAAGAGGGAAGGUGGCCGGCAGCCUACGAAUGUUCACUGUCUCAGAAUUGGAGGCAACAAGUGGGAUGCCUGUGGAUACCUGCAUGUUGGCCCACACCUUGCACCAGACUCUCGGCCUACGGAACCACGAGAGGAUAAAUGUAUCAUUUGAACCUCACAUUUGUCACAGCAAUGCCAGAUAAAGAUUAAAGUGUAGAAAACACCCUGCUAUGUACAUGGUGUACAUGGACUAUCUCUUCACAUACACCAGACUGACUGGCAUCACUUUCUAGGAAUCCCGUGGUGAUUUGCCCCGAGAGAUGUGGACAGGCAACUUGUCUGGAUUUUUCUUUCAGAGUUUGAACCCUCUACAUUUGUCUAUUGUCACCAUCUAAGAACAAAUCUUUAUAAUUAAUACAAUGAAUUUAUUUUUCAUCCUGUAUUUUAAAGGGCAUGGACCAUCUUAAAUGAGUGUGCAACAAGCCACUAUUUUCUUGAAUACAUUAGUGGAUCUCUGGCUAAUUAGACAAUAGGUGUUUUGCUGAGGUUUGGGUUAUGAGUAAAUAAAGGCUUCAUUA
Long non-coding RNA from Condylura cristata (star-nosed mole), 2576 nucleotides. RefSeq lists it as uncharacterized. The transcript has 8 exons. The record is from RefSeq and is a predicted model, not a curated record. NCBI's taxonomy places the organism in Eukaryota, Metazoa, Chordata, Mammalia, Eulipotyphla, Talpidae.